CAAAUAUGACCAUGGGAGCUUUUAUUAUGGUAGCCAAAAGUGGAAAACAAUCAAAUUUCUAUCAUAAAUAGAAUGGAUUGAUACAUUGGGACCUGUUCAGUCGAUGGAGUGGAUUACAGCUGCCCCGUGCACCACAGCACAGCCGGAGAACUCCUUCCCCGUGCCAACCCUGGGAAAGGUGCCGUUCUAGGUGUUGUGCAACUGAAACACACCCUCAAAGACCCUACGUCUUCCAGCUGAAGGACACAACCCCAUGAGCCACAUCUAGUGGGCACAGACAUUUUUCCACUGUGCUGGAUUGUUCUACUGUCAGCCUACUUAGACUGGGGGCCAGGCUUCCCAGAAUCAUCUUCCCGUGUGGUUCCAGGUUAAGACUGCCAAAGUGAAGCUGAGGGGGGUGUGGGAGGCAGCUGUGAGGCGGUACCAUCGAAGGUUCCAGGUGGCAAGAGCCAGACGCAGGGGUGCUGCCAAGUUCCAGCUCACCCCAGCUCUGUUCUUCCCAUGUCGCAUCUCGUCCUUCUUCCUGAACUCCUUGCUGACCCACAGGGACCUGAUCCACCACCGGAUGCUUCUGUGUGAAUUCACAGAGGCAGCAGCUCCAAUGUGCCUACAGCCUUCCAUGGGUUUCUGCACCAGCCCCUCCGGGCUCUCACUCCUACAGCUGGACAGGACCCGCUUCCAGGCUUCUCUGCAAUAUCUGACUCGCGCACCUGUGUCCAUGCUUCAAGUGAGCACCUUUUCUCGGACUUCCCUAUGCCCUCUUUCGGACUUUCAUGUCCCCCAGAUGGUCCCAUGGUUGGGUCAGGUCAAAUUCUUAUCAUUUCUGAUAA
Mirounga angustirostris (Northern elephant seal) is the source of this 830-nucleotide long non-coding RNA. RefSeq lists it as uncharacterized. The transcript has 2 exons. NCBI's taxonomy places the organism in Eukaryota, Metazoa, Chordata, Mammalia, Carnivora, Phocidae. The record is from RefSeq and is a predicted model, not a curated record.